This is a long non-coding RNA of Vidua macroura (Pin-tailed whydah), 1209 nucleotides long. RefSeq lists it as uncharacterized. The transcript has 5 exons. The record is from RefSeq and is a predicted model, not a curated record. Lineage: Eukaryota; Metazoa; Chordata; Aves; Passeriformes; Viduidae.
CCCCCCGAGGGACCCAAAGCUGCCCCAAAAUGCACAGGGAGGGGGGUGUGUAGAAUACUACAUCCUGUCAAGUGCUUCGUUUUUAUAGGUAUUGGUAAAAAUAGGAAUUUGUCUCUAAAUUCAUUUGGAAAGAAAGCCAGAGCAGCCCCAGGUGUGAACUGUGAGGAUAAGGAGGGGCCGGCUCCUGCCGGCGGCUGUUUUAGGGGCUUUGCCUCAGCUGAUUUUACAGGGAGCUGCUGGAGAAGAGGAGUUUAUGGGCGGCUCCUGGGGCUGUCCUUGCAGGGACGGUGACAGCUUCGGACAGGGUCUGCGGGAUCACCUGGAUACGCACUUGGAUACCUGGAGCAUUGCUCAGAGGAGGUGCCGAGGAACAAACCUUUGUGCCGGGUAGCGGCAGCCAAACAGGGGAUGAAACUGAAGGGGAGAACACAUUUAUUUGCCCUUGUUGAAGUGAGGCGAGCACCUGAGUGUGGCGUAAGUUCCGGGGGUUGAAUUGAAGGAGGCUGCAGCUCUCGCAGCGUUUGAAGGGUUGGAAUCGGGCUGUGCCGCUGCAUUGGAGGGCGCUUCUUCUGCCCCUGGCCCGGCAGCCAAGGCUGUGGCGCGGGAGCUGCUGGCGUUGCCUGGGGAGCUGCCGAGAAGUGUUGCACACACACUUGUAUUUCAUUAUGGAAAUGAAGCAAGGAAGCUGGAGAAUAAUCAGUAUGAAAAUCAGGGGCCUGGCUUCUCAUUUAUGUUGAAACAAGCAAAACUUUUCACCUGCUUGCUUUCCAUCCAGCAAACGGCUGGACUCUAGCUGAGCCUCACAACAGCAGCUUGAAUCCCAAAAUCCGGAUGAAGCCCCAAGUCUGGGGAUUUGGGAAGCAAGGAUUCCAGUGCCAAGUUUCCUUUCCUCUGCCUGGAAUUCCUUCUACCAUCGUCAUUCUGCUGAGCCAGGAGCAGUUCUGCUGCUGAGGACUGAUCUGUACAGAGCCAGCUGAAGUUCUGGAGUCAGUCUUGUUUCCCCGGCAGAUGCUAUUCAUGGAUACAACCAAGAGUAAAAGCAGUAGGGCAGCUCUGUUUGUUCUUAAGUGCCUCAGAAGUGACUCUUUUUAGGAAUCUACACAUGGUCAAACUUGACUUUUGUCUCUAUCAGAGCGAGAACCUACACUUUUUCUUUGGAGACUGCUGUAUCCAGUGGUUUUGUCUGUUUUCUUGGUCAAAAUCUCUGAG